AAUGGACGCAAGUCUGAACCAGCCAUGCCGCGUGCAGGAUGAAUGCCCUAUGGGUUGUAAACUGCUUUUAUAUAGGAAUAAACCCCCUCUCGUGAGAGGGGCUGAAGGUACUAUAAGAAUAAGGACCGGCUAACUCCGUGCCAGCAGCCGCGGUAAUACGGAGGGUCCAAGCGUUAUCCGGAUUUAUUGGGUUUAAAGGGUCCGCAGGCGGGAAAAUAAGUCAGUGGUGAAAUCCUAUCGCUUAACGAUAGAACUGCCAUUGAUACUGUUUUUCUUGAGUAUAAUUGAAGUGGGCGGAAUGUGUCAUGUAGCGGUGAAAUGCAUAGAUAUGACACAGAACACCGAUUGCGAAGGCAGCUCACUAAAUUAUUACUGACGCUCAGGGACGAAAGCGUGGGGAGCAAA
This 405-nucleotide ribosomal RNA is filed under the name uncultured bacterium. RNAcentral describes it as "bacterial SSU rRNA". It matches the Rfam family "Bacterial small subunit ribosomal RNA", at positions 370 to 772 of the family's 1533-position model. The record is from RNAcentral.